RNAcentral lists this ribosomal RNA (438 nucleotides) under uncultured bacterium. RNAcentral's name for it is "bacterial SSU rRNA". It matches the Rfam family "Bacterial small subunit ribosomal RNA", at positions 29 to 507 of the family's 1533-position model. The record is from RNAcentral.
AGCGAACGCUGGCGGCAUGCUUAACACAUGCAAGUCGCACGGCGGGGGCAACUCCGUCAGUGGCGGACGGGUGAGUAACGCGUAGGAAUCUAUCCUUGGGUGGGGGACAACCGUGGGAAACUACGGCUAAUACCGCAUGAUCCCUGAGGGGCAAAGGCGAAAGUCGUUUGAGGAGGAGCCUGCGUCUGAUUAGGUAGUUGGUGGGGUAAAGGCCUACCAAGCCUACGAUCAGUAGCUGGUCUGAGAGGAUGAUCAGCCACAUUGGGACUGAGACACGGCCCAAACUCCUACGGGAGGCAGCAGUGGGGAAUAUUGGACAAUGGGCGCAAGCCUGAUCCAGCAAUGCCGCGUGGGUGAAGAAGGUCUUCGGAUUGUAAAGUCCUUUUGGCAGGGACGAUGAUGACGGUACCUGCAGAAUAAGCUCCGGCUAACUUCGUG